Molecule: small nuclear RNA, 102 nt
Organism: Pteropus vampyrus (large flying fox)
Lineage: Eukaryota; Metazoa; Chordata; Mammalia; Chiroptera; Pteropodidae
Source: Ensembl
GUGCUCACUUCACAGCGCAUAUACUAAAAUUGGAACGAUACCGAGAUUAGCAUGACCCCUGCACAAGGACCACAUGCACACUGUGAAGCAUUCCAUAUUUUU